CAAGGAAUAGUAGGCAAUGGGGGAAACCCUGACCUCGCGACGCCGCGUGAGGGAUGAAGGCUUUCGGGUUGUAAACCUCUUUUCUCAGGGAUGAAUAAUGACAGUACCUGAGGAAUAAGUCACGGCUAACUACGUGCCAGCAGCCGCGGUAAAACGUAGGUGGCGAACGUUAUCCGGAUUCACUGGGCGUAAAGAGUGCGUAGGCGGCCUUAUAAGUCGGAUGUAAAAUUUCUCGGCUCAACCGGGAGGGACCAUCCGAUACUGUCUGGCUAGAGUGCAUCAGAGGAGAGUGGAAUUCCCGGUGUAGUGGUGGAAUGCGUAGAUAUCGGGAGGAACACCAGUGGCGAAAGCGGCUCUCUGGGAUGUUACUGACGCUGUUGCACGAAAGCGUGGGGAGCAAACAGGAUUAGAUACCCUGGUAGUCCACGCUGUAAACUAUGGACACUGGGUACAGGGAGUAUCGACCCUCUCUGUGCCGAAGCUAACGCGUUAAGUGUCCCGUCUGGGGACUACGGCCGCAAGGUUA
This 526-nucleotide ribosomal RNA is filed under the name uncultured bacterium. RNAcentral's name for it is "bacterial SSU rRNA". It matches the Rfam family "Bacterial small subunit ribosomal RNA", at positions 355 to 896 of the family's 1533-position model. The record is from RNAcentral.